CGCCGCUCCUACGUAGUCGCUGUGAGUCAAGAUGGCGUUGGUGGGGCGGGUGUACCGCAUCUUCCUGCGCCGUUCGUCUGUCUUUGCCCUCAGCGUGUUCUGCGGGGUCGUGCUGUUCGAGCGAGCCUUCGACCAGGGCGCCGACGCGCUCUUCGAGCACCUCAACGAGGGGCAAGAAGUAUGACCUCUUCCUGGGAUCUCUUGAGUGUAUAUUAACAAACUUGACAGGAGCAGGAUGCUGGUUGCUAUGGUUCCCCUGCUGUACCUGUGGCAGAUGAAGAAGCUGUGGAAACAUAUCAAGCACAAGUAUGAAGAUGACAAACAGUAAAUUGCCAAGCACCGGAUCCAUGGUGGGGUAUUUGUGGUGUUCUGUGCAAGGCUUUCCAUCUCCUGAUGCCAGCUAUUGAAAAUGAACAAGGAUUUCUGACUGAAGCCAGAGCUGCAUCCACCACUUACAGCUAUGACCGAGAACUAAAUGGACUCAAGGAUUUUCUCUUUAUUGUGUUGAAACUUACCAUGGUAAAAUAAUAAAGUCACUGACUUGUACCCCUUAUGCUUGCAUGUUCAUCUGAAUUAACCUGGUGCUCUGUAUGUAAGGGAAGGUUUUCUCUUCAGAAAAUGGAGGGCUCUUAUUUAGUCUGCCACUAAGUGCAUUUUCAGUAUGGAAAGAAGAUACUUUUGGUGUAACCUGAAAGAUUUGAAAGCAUUUAUAUAGCUGAGGGCUGUUGUCAAUAUUUACUGCCUUUGCUUGGAAAAUUUUCCCAUUUUUGACUCAUAAAUGAAUGUUCAGACAGCAGCAAAAGCCUUAAAUAGGCAGACAUAAUAACUAGCCAAUAUGUCACAGCAGAAACAAUCUGCCCUUAAACGCUUGUUUUUAUUGAACUAUUAAAGGGCUGUUUAUUUGCAAAA
This is an RNA transcript of Alligator sinensis (Chinese alligator), 909 nucleotides long. It is a transcript of the gene named cytochrome b-c1 complex subunit 9, with no coding region annotated. The record is from RefSeq and is a predicted model, not a curated record. NCBI's taxonomy places the organism in Eukaryota, Metazoa, Chordata, Crocodylia, Alligatoridae. The transcript has 3 exons.